This 253-nucleotide ribosomal RNA is filed under the name uncultured bacterium. Its description in RNAcentral is "partial 16S ribosomal RNA". It matches the Rfam family "Bacterial small subunit ribosomal RNA", at positions 524 to 776 of the family's 1533-position model. The record is from RNAcentral.
UACGUAGGUGACCAGCGUUGUCCGGAUUUACUGGGCGUAAAGAGCGCGCAGGCGGUCGUUCAAGUCGAGUGUGAAAGCCCCCGGCUCAACUGGGGAGGGUCAUUCGAUACUGAUCGACUUGAAGGCAGGAGAGGGAAGUGGAAUUCCCGGUGUAGUGGUGAAAUGCGCAGAUAUCAGGAGGAACACCGGUGGCGAAGGCGGAUCUCUGGGCCGUAACUGACGCUGAGGAGCGAAAGCAUGGGGAGCGAACAGG